AGGAGUUCAGCUUACAGCACUAGUGUUAAUUUUGUCAGAUGAGACGAGACUAAAUAUGUUCGUCAACAACCUUU
Long non-coding RNA from Etheostoma cragini (Arkansas darter), 74 nucleotides. RefSeq lists it as uncharacterized. The transcript is spliced from 3 exons. NCBI's taxonomy places the organism in Eukaryota, Metazoa, Chordata, Actinopteri, Perciformes, Percidae. The record is from RefSeq and is a predicted model, not a curated record.